Molecule: ribosomal RNA, 444 nt
Filed under: uncultured bacterium
Lineage: Bacteria
Description: bacterial SSU rRNA
Rfam family: Bacterial small subunit ribosomal RNA
Source: RNAcentral
AACGCGAAGAACCUUACCUGGGCUAGAAUGCUGGGAGACCGUGGGUGAAAGCUCACUUUGUAGCAAUACACUGCCAGUAAGGUGCUGCAUGGCUGUCGUCAGCUCGUGCCGUGAGGUGUUGGGUUAAGUCCCGCAACGAGCGCAACCCCCAUCACUAGUUGCCAUCAGGUAAAGCUGGGAACUCUAGUGAAACUGCCGUCGUAAGACGCGAGGAAGGAGGGGAUGAUGUCAAGUCAUCAUGGCCUUUAUGCCCAGGGCUACACACGUGCUACAAUGGGGAGGACAAAGGGCUGCAACACAGCGAUGUGAAGCUAAUCCCAAAAAACCUCUUCUCAGUUCAGAUUGCAGUCUGCAACUCGACUGCAUGAAGCUGGAAUCGCUAGUAAUCGUAUAUCAGCAAUGAUACGGUGAAUACGUUCCCGGGCCUUGUACACACCGGUACUA